This 199-nucleotide ribosomal RNA is filed under the name uncultured bacterium. RNAcentral describes it as "partial 16S ribosomal RNA". It matches the Rfam family "Bacterial small subunit ribosomal RNA", at positions 1294 to 1500 of the family's 1533-position model. The record is from RNAcentral.
CGGAUCGGAGUCUGCAACCCGACUCCGUGAAGCUGGAUUCGCUAGUAAUCGCGCAUCAGCCAUGGCGCGGUGAAUACGUUCCCGGGCCUUGUACACACCGCCCGUCAAGCCAUGGAAGCCGGGAGUGCCUGAAGUAUGCAACCGCAAGGAGCGUCCUAAGGUAAAACCGGUGACUGGGGCUAAGUCGUAACAAGGUACC